CGGGAUCUCUGGAGCUCUUAAGUUAUCCUGCAACAGUGUGACUCUUGUCCUAACUUUUUUUUCAGAUUCAGAUGGAUAAAAUCUCUGUCAGAGGGCCCCAUCCUGGGUGACGAGAUUCCCCCGAGCAGGAAAUAAAUCUGGCUACCAGCAGUCAAGGCAAUCCACUCGGAGCAUGCUAGGCCUCUGUAACCACCCGCCCGAUGCACUGGGUUUCCGGCUCAUGUGAGCCCUGUGGAUAUAUUGCAGGACCUGGUGAUGAAGCCCUGAAUUUUCUACUUAAUGGUGUCAUCUG
This is a long non-coding RNA of Zonotrichia leucophrys gambelii, 292 nucleotides long. RefSeq lists it as uncharacterized. The record is from RefSeq and is a predicted model, not a curated record. The transcript has 3 exons. NCBI's taxonomy places the organism in Eukaryota, Metazoa, Chordata, Aves, Passeriformes, Passerellidae.